GACAGAGGUGCCAAGCGUUAGGCGGAAUCACUGGGCUUAAAGCGUGUGUAGGCGGAUUUGUAAGUACCUUGUGAAAUCCCACGGCUUAACCGUGGAACUGCUCGGUAUACUGCGAAUCUUGGGUCAUCUAGGGGCGAGCGGAACAAGUGGUGGAGCGGUGAAAUGCGUAGAUAUCACUUGGAACGCCAAUGGUGAAAACAGCUCGCUGGGGAUGCACCGACGCUGAGACACGAAAGCCAGGGGAGCAAACGGG
RNAcentral lists this ribosomal RNA (253 nucleotides) under uncultured bacterium. Its description in RNAcentral is "partial 16S ribosomal RNA". It matches the Rfam family "Bacterial small subunit ribosomal RNA", at positions 524 to 776 of the family's 1533-position model. The record is from RNAcentral.